UGGGGAAUAUUGCACAAUGGAGGGAACUCUGAUGCAGCGACGCCGCGUGAACGAAGAAGGCUUUCGAGUCGUAAAGUUCUUUUAUAUGGGAAGAUAAUGACGGUACCAUAAGAAAAAGCCCCGGCUAACUACGUGCCAGCAGCCGCGGUAAUACGUAGAGGGCUAGCGUUGUCCGGAAUCACUGGGCGUAAAGGGUUCGCAGGCGGAAAUGCAAGUCAGGUGUAAAAGGCAGUAGCUUAACUACUGUAAGCAUUUGAAACUGCAUAUCUUGAGAAGAGUAGAGGUAAGUGGAAUUUUUAGUGUAGCGGUGAAAUGCGUAGAUAUUAAAAAGAAUACCGGUGGCGAAGGCGACUUACUGGGCUCAUUCUGACGCUGAGGAACGAAAGCGUGGGUAGCAAACAGG
Molecule: ribosomal RNA, 403 nt
Filed under: bacterium
Lineage: Bacteria
Description: partial 16S ribosomal RNA
Rfam family: Bacterial small subunit ribosomal RNA
Source: RNAcentral